RNAcentral lists this ribosomal RNA (320 nucleotides) under uncultured Anoxybacillus sp. Its description in RNAcentral is "bacterial SSU rRNA". It matches the Rfam family "Bacterial small subunit ribosomal RNA", at positions 1060 to 1382 of the family's 1533-position model. The record is from RNAcentral. Lineage: Bacteria; Bacillati; Bacillota; Bacilli; Caryophanales; Anoxybacillaceae.
UCGUGUCGUGAGAUGUGGGUUAAGUCCCGCAACGAGCGCAACCCUCGACCUUAGUUGCCAGCAUUCAGUUGGGCACUCUAAGGUGACUGCCGGCUAAAAGUCGGAGGAAGGUGGGGAUGACGUCAAAUCAUCAUGCCCCUUAUGACCUGGGCUACACACGUGCUACAAUGGGCGGUACAAAGGGUCGCGAACCCGCGAGGGGGAGCCAAUCCCAAAAAGCCGCUCUCAGUUCGGAUUGCAGGCUGCAACUCGCCUGCAUGAAGCCGGAAUCGCUAGUAAUCGCGGAUCAGCAUGCCGCGGUGAAUACGUUCCCGGGCCUU